Long non-coding RNA from Gopherus flavomarginatus (Mexican gopher tortoise), 1244 nucleotides. RefSeq lists it as uncharacterized. Lineage: Eukaryota; Metazoa; Chordata; Testudines; Testudinidae. The transcript is spliced from 4 exons. The record is from RefSeq and is a predicted model, not a curated record.
CACGGCAGAUGUGUGACAAGGGACAGGCACUGAGUGACUGGGAUUCAAUCGCAGUGUAACAUGCAUGGGAUUCACCACACAAUAACAGCUGUGCUGGGUGCCUACUGCUGCCAUGGGUGCCAAUGAAAUCCUCACCUCCCUUUAGCACAAGGCUCAGGAGCAGAGCUCCCAGAUCCUAGCUCUCCAGAGACAAUAACCAGGGUGAUAACCAAUGCCUGGGCGAGUGUUGAAUAACCAUCAACAGCCAUUGUCUAGCAAGGGAGCUACAAUGCAAUGAGUCACCUGCAUAAGGCCAUGCCAGUGGAAUUGCUUAACUUUGUCAGGUGGUAACUCAGCAAUGCCCACCAGACAUGCCUGGACUUGUGUUCUCCAAGCACAUGGACUAAGGGUAUAAAACAGAACACAGGGCCACAUGCUUGGCCUUUUCUCCUUCCCCCACCUAUGCUGCAAGCAGCAAGGAUGCUCAGAAAACUGAAGACUCCAACAGAGGAGACUGGCCAAGGUUUCAAGGGUGAAACCUGUGUACUGCAAUAUCCGGGGAGGUUUCCACCCCAAGCAGACAUCAGAAGUACUCAAGAUUUCACCAGCCAACCUGACAGCGUGAGCCUUCUGGCUGAAUUUUGCUGCCUUGGGUGCCCCUGGGACCCCAAGAUGGAUCUAAUUGGGGAGGAUCCUGUUGUCUGUGCCUGCAAGACCUGUCUUGGACUGUGUUCCUGUCGUCUAAAUAAACCUUCUGCUUUACUGGUGGCUGAGAGUCAUGGUGAAUUGCAGGAAGCUGGGGGUGCAGGGCCUUGUGUCCCCCCACAAUCUGUGACACUAGGCACUAAACAACAAUUGUAACAUUAAAUAAUGUGGAAGUAUAUGUGUUAGUGCAUGCUAGAUGUGUACAUAUGAAUACACGUGUGUAUCUGCAGGUAGGUGUGGGCGUCAGUUUCUACAAAUUUAUUUAUCUAGGUAUCUGGACAGAUGUGCAUUUCUAUGGUUGUCCUCUAUGGAUUUGUAUUUGGGCUUCAGGAGUGGGCUUUUAAUGGACCCAUUGCAGCUGUGAUAAUGUGUGGUCCUAAUUUCACAGGUAAAAUGACAAUAACUUUAGUGAACAAAAAACAUGGAGAUGGUUACGAAAAAUGGGAAGAGGGGAGGGAAAGAAUCAUGAAAACCUUUGUGAAAUUUCAUUUUUUUUAAAAAUUACCCUUUUUGACUAUUUUGCUGCCAGCUCUCGCGUCCUGUAACAAAUAAAACCUGAA